This 1517-nucleotide long non-coding RNA is filed under the name Capsicum annuum. RNAcentral describes it as "long non-coding RNA (CANN_LNC016117)". The record is from RNAcentral. Lineage: Eukaryota; Viridiplantae; Streptophyta; Magnoliopsida; Solanales; Solanaceae.
GCGUCAUUCCUCAAAUGCAAGAGAUCUUUUUCUUAAUUGUUGGGUGUUGUUUUGGUGGAAAAUGAAGGAGUAAAAGUGAAUUUUAAAGGUGGAAGAAUAGAGGAAGAAGAAGACAAAGAAAUGAAAUUUUCUUUUCAAAAAUAAAUUGUUAUUGUUGCUUGUUGUAUAUGAAUGUAAGUUGAAUUGGUACUUUUUUACUUGGUUGUUGGGUGUUGUUUUGGUGAAAAAAUGAAGAAUUGAAAGUGUGGUUUAAUGGUGGAAGAGUAGGAGGUAAAGAAAUAAAAUUAUUUUUCUUUAUGAAGAAAGAAGUAAAGAAGGUUUGGAAGAGAAGAAGAAGAAGAUAUUAUUUUUUAUUACGUAUUGUGCUCAAAAAUGGUUUUUCAAAAAUGGAGAAUCAUUUUUUUUUUAAACUUGUUGCUCAAAAAUGGAGAAAGUAAGUUUGGAAGGGAAGAGGAAGGGGAUGGGGGAUUGGGUAGGGGCACUUGGGGGCAGGGUGUUAAUGAUUUUUUGGAAAAUUAUUUUUAUAAUUUAAAAUGCCACGUGUCGUUAUUUAAUUUGCCACUUUGCCAUGUCAUUAGCGUGUGUGUUACACGCAAUCCCAAUUUUUUGCCACGUUAGUAAAUCGAGCUCAAUUGAAAUCAUUUGUGAAGGAGUAAAGCGUUCAAUAGGUACAUGACCUAAUUGAGUUGCCUAAGCGGAAAAAAUCAAAUAGUUGAGGUGCCUGUAUAUGUUUUCCGUCAAAAUAAUAUGAAUAAUCUCAGAAGAUAGACCUGUGAUGUUCAAGAGGGUACAUUGAUUUGACAGGAGAUAGACUUAUGAUGAGGGGUUCUUAGUUGAUAUGGUACAAAUUAUUUUUUUACCAAAAUACAGGUUCUUGGUGUGAGUGGUUGUGCAGAAGAAACUGCUUACAAAAGAAAGGCUCCAGAGAGGAUAGAAGUGCAGUGUGAUCAUGAUGACUGUGUUUUGUGUGAUCAGGAUCUGUUUGAGACUGCUUUCCGCCUGUUUGUUCAAUGUCAAGUUGUUUGUGCAAUGUGGAGAACUAUUAGCAAGUUGGCUAGAAAUUACAAAGGGGCUAAGGAAUGUGCAGAUGAUCAUAAAGGGGAUCAGACAGAAACAAUGGCCAAGGUUCAAAUAGGAGAUUAUAGUAGUCAAUUAUGGUACAGUUUUGUACAAUGUCUGGCAAGCUAGGAAUAAUGGCAAGAUAUUUUGAGAAGAAGCCACUAAUAUUGGCUUUCUGUUUCAACUUGCAGUCUGGACAGAACCAACAUGUAUAGAGAAACAAAAAAUGCUAGGAAAUAUGUUAGCUAUAUAGAUAGGAUCUGUAUAUAGUUGGUCUUUUUGGUUUGUAAGUGGUAUGGAGGCGUAGAUUGUUGGAUCUUAUGGAAACCAAGGGCUCUUUCUAUGAACUCAAAAUUUGUUGGUAUGAUAAUAUUUAUAUUUUAUUAUAAAAAAACUCAGAAAAAAUAUUCGAGGGCCUUUUCCCUUUCAAAUUAUUGAAAAUUGAUGAAUAAAAGAAU